CUGAGCCAUCCAGGCGCCCCUAAAUGAUUUUAUUUUUAAGUAUGCUCUACACCCAGCAUGGGGGUCAAACUCACAGACCUGAGAUCCCCAUGCUCCACUGACUGAGCCAGCCAUGUGCCUCUACAUCUUGCUGGUUUUUACUUAACAUUAGGUCAGGUGCAUUUUUCUAGGGCUGCGGUACAGUCUCUGCUAACCUGGUUUCUCAGCCGUUCGGACGACUCCGGCCAGUGGUGGAUUCUGGGCUGUAGUGGUGAUUUCUCAUGGCUGGCCACUGAGGCUGUUUGCACUUGUUUGCUGAAACAAAGAACAUGGUAAACAGCCUCCAUCCAUCCGUAAUUCCACGUCCACAUGGCUGAUUAUUUGGGGGGCUUUUUAUCUGAUCAGUUCCUAGACACGAGAUUCUUGGAAGCCCUGCCUGGUGCAGAGCUGUUGGGUAAGCAGGGGAGGGGGUGGGGCUUCUCAGGCCCACAUGUCCCCACCUGAGGACAGCCCAGGCCCCAGCUGUAAGGAACAACUUGCACUUUCUGAACGCCUCAUGCUCUCUCCUAAUUCCAGGCCAAUUUGUCCGGGGGUUACCGACUCUGCCCCCAGCUUUCUGUCUUCCUCCUUCUCUCUGUCUUGCUAACUCUUGCUGGCAUAAGAUGUUCUCCAAGGAGCUUUCCUGGAGCCCCCACGGCUGGGAGCCCCCAGUGUCAUCCCCUCUGCGGCUGUGCCCGGGGCCACCUCCAUCCGAGUGCUUUCUCGCUGGGUUCCAAGUCCUGUUUCUUUGGUUUUCCUUGUCCCCCGAGGACAAGGCCCAGGCAGGAUUCAUCUCUGAAUUUCUAGUACUGGGGGCAGUGGUGAGCUGGCUCAUUUCAGUUUCAGUAAAUGUUUGUUGAGCAAAGGAAUGGAGAGUUGGACAAAUGAAUUAAACAAAUGAAGCAAAGUCCGUGGGGGAGGCUGAAGUGAACUUUUUUUUGUGUUUGAGCGUCCAGUCCAGGGGGAUGUAGUGGGGUGCGGAGCAAGGCCCCUGAGCCAGGAGCAAGGAACAGGGAAGGCAGGGCUCUUGUGAAAGGGAGCUGGAAGUAGGGGUCUAGGCAGUGCCGUGCAGGGUAAUGCAGACAAGAACAUUCCAGAAGAGGGAAAAGUUUCAUGGGCUCUGGAGCCCCCCCUUCUGGAUUCAAACCCUGACCCUGCUGCUUACGAGCUGUGUGGCCCUGAGCCAGUGACUUAGCUUCUCUGUGCUUCAGUUUUUCCAUCUGUAAAAUGUGGAUGACAAAUGUUAGUACUUCAUUCAUUCAUUCAUUCAUUCAUUUUCUUCCUCGCUUAACACUUGCUGAGUGUCUAUUCUGGGCCCAGGACCAGAAGCUGAGAGGGAGCUGACCAGCACAGGCAAACCCUGCUACUAAGCGGAAACCCAGGUUUGGUGGCCGCAGCUUCUACUCGUGGAGCCCCUCAGUCGACCUAUCAGGCUGCCGAGGGACCACUGGCUGGCACAGACGGAACGCUGUCACCAGCCUCCUCCAGCAUCGUCACCAUCAGGAGUCUGUGCUGACCCACCACAAGGUCUUGGAGAACUCCCCCGGCCUCUCCGAGCCUCUGUUUCCUUUAGAGUCAACAUCCAUCUUAGUUUGCCUGGGAAGAAGGGUCUUCCCAGGGUGGGGAACUCUUGAUGUUAAGACUGGUUCUGUCCUAGGCAAACAGGGAUGGUUGGUCCCCUGAGUUUCCUCAUCCGUAACGUGGCGAACCGCCUGCCCCCUGGGGCUGCCGUGCAGAACUGAAGCAUGCACACGGGAAAGUCUGAGAAGAAUCCUAGAUCGAGUACACGAAUAUUGAAGAAUUCUGAGUGCCGUGGAAGUCCAGUCACGGAAAAGAAGGAGCCCGCUUGCAGGUUCUGCUAUGGAAGCAGCUCUAAGAUACAUAUUCUUAGUGGAAAAAGCAAGGGUGAGAAACCUUCUCAACUCCUGUGUGUCCAGAAUUAAAGCAACAAAAAACUAUUCUAAACCGUUAAAAGGCCAAAGAUACAGAGUAGGAAACGUUUCUUGCUCAGGGCCCAGCAGCCAAGAAGUUCAUGAAUGGCCUUCUCCCCUCUCCUGCCCGUAGCCUCGCUGAUCACCAGUCUGGACUAGGCAACCUGCAUCUGCUGCUGUGGCCACCAAAGCCAGCUCCCUCUGCCUCUGGCCUCCGGGAGAAAGAGCCACAGCUGGUUUAGGAAAAAGUUCCAGAGUCAGCCCUCCAGGCCUGCCCCUCACCAACCAACCUCCACUGAGAGCCCAGCCCAGCCCUGCCUUGAGCUUCCAGACACGUGGCCGGAUUCUUUUCUUUUAAAUUUUAGCAUCAUGCCCGUAUUUCAGGAACAUGGUCUUAUUGUACUCUCUCACACAUUAAUAAAAUGUAACGAAUAAAAACCUAAAAACCAAAGUAAUUCCCCUGCAUUUCCCCAGCUGCAUUCCCCUCAAACAUUACUGGCUGCUAGUGGGUGUUCCUUUGAACCUUCUACUCUCAUGUGUAUGUGUGUAUCUGUAGCUCUUCUCUCUGUACACUUCUGUCUCUAUCUGUAACCACACCUUUGUCUGUAUCUGGGCCAGCUGUGUACGCACAGGUGCAUGCGCUCCUCACAUAAAUGGUAACAUUCUGUGUAUUUUGUUCUGCAAGGUGCCUUACUUUUCACUGAGUGCGUCUUGCUUUGGGUCCGUACAUAUUCAACCCCCUCCUUUUUAACAGCUGAGCAGUAGUCCAUCACGUGAGCUGGCCCAUCAUUUCUUUGUCCAGUCCCCUACCGAACAUCUAGAUGGUUUCUAUCAUUUUGCUUCCACAAACAGCCCUGGGCAGGCCUCAUUGUACGCUGAGUGAUUUCUCCAGGACAGGCUCACCUCCUGGCACUGCUGGAGGGGCUGGGUACCACAUUCGCGAUACCUACUAACAGAGGGGCCGGGUGCUGGGGCUAGGUACCGCAUUUGCUGUAAGUACAAAGGAAGUACAACCUGGGGAAGCCAGAGCAAGCCCCUCUCCCACCCAGGACACAGACCGCCUGUUUUAUGCACAUCACCAGCGCUGAGCUGCCCAGUGUGUCACAUUUUCCUAUCAGACCGUCUCUCCCCAGCAUAAUCCUUACCUCCCAAGCCACCAAUCGUUCCACUGGGAUGGCUUCGAAACCUGGAUUCCAGGGAACUUUCCAGCCAUCUUUGUUUGUCCGACUACUGAGUGGCUUUGUGCCUGGGUGAUUUCAGGGAGAAGGGGAGAUCCUCCAGUCCCCAUAUUUCUCCCCCAUCUAGAGGAAAAGGCAGUUUGGGGAAGGCCCUGCCCCCUUUGCAAGCUCUUUUUCCUAAGGCUUCCUGCCACCGGGGCAGCAUGGGACAAAGGAGGGCAGCUUAGAGGUAAAAAGCACAGGGGGAAUCAAAAGAUAUAGAACCACAAUAAUGGCCUAUUCCUUACAAAGUUUCUCCUGGGCCCUCAGCACCACAGGAGCCUGAGACCCGCCCCGCAGUGCACAUUACAGUUGCCCCCAUCUUGCAAGUGAGGGAGCCAAGGCGCAGAAGGAGGGGGAGCAGGAUUGAACUCGGACCUGUACGGCCCCAGAGCCCAGGUCCUGUCAUCGGGUGGGGGUAACACGUGUGCCAGAAGCUAGUACUGACUGACUCCCUGGGGGAGCCCAGGAUAAAUGAAGUCUG
Molecule: long non-coding RNA, 3650 nt
Organism: Mustela erminea (ermine)
Lineage: Eukaryota; Metazoa; Chordata; Mammalia; Carnivora; Mustelidae
Exons: 3
Source: RefSeq, a predicted model, not a curated record